Molecule: transfer RNA, 69 nt
Filed under: Tubulipora flabellaris
Lineage: Eukaryota; Metazoa; Bryozoa; Stenolaemata; Tubuliporida; Tubuliporidae
Description: tRNA-Gln
Source: RNAcentral
AAAUGUUUAGUAAUUACUUAAAACUUUGAUUUUCAAUUUCUGUUAGAAGUUUAACUCUCCUAGGAUUUA